GAAAAAUCCACGGGACCGAUCACGCGAAGAAAAUUCACUAAGAAAACUUGAGUACAAGUGAUUUUGACAAAAAUACACGACUCAAUUUACCGAUUUCUUAUUGAUGGUGAUCUUCGCCGGUCCUCGAUCGAUAGGAAUCCACCAAUCGACCUCGCUGCAACUCCUCGCAGCGUCAACGCCUCAACUCCUCGAAGUGUCCACCGAAUCCUCGGCUACACGCGAGAUACACGCGCCGAACCUCCUUCC
This 246-nucleotide long non-coding RNA is filed under the name Ananas comosus (pineapple). RNAcentral describes it as "long non-coding RNA (ACOM_LNC042651)". Lineage: Eukaryota; Viridiplantae; Streptophyta; Magnoliopsida; Poales; Bromeliaceae. The record is from RNAcentral.